GCUUAAAACCGUUGUCAAACAAAUGUAUCCAUAAAUCAGAAAACAUUUUAAACGAGGGUCAAGAUUAGAACCAAAAAACUCCUGUUACAGAAUGUUUAGUUUGUUGCGUUUGUGUUUGUUUUCUAUGGCGAGAUCUAUGUUAAGAAUAUGUAGUGUGUUCGUUUCUGUUCCCAUGACAUUCCACUCCUUCAUACUAAGUGCGUCGUCGCUUUCGUUUAGCCUUCUGCUUGCCAGGUGAUGAUUUGUAGGACGUUGUCACGUUCUCUUUGCAAACUGCUGUCUUCACAGCGCAGAGGCGAUUUUCCAGUGCAGAUUGAAAUGGAGCCAUGAAGAAGGCAUACUUUCUGCAAGAAGUAAAGAGCUGUCAUCGGAAACAACUCUUUGGAUGUCUUUCACUCUGCUUGAUAUGCUGUGUGGAGCUGGUUUGUUGUGAUUGUGUCGAGUUCCCGGUACAAGACCAACCAUCGCCUUCCAUCGUCAUUGCAGGGCCAUAUGUAGACCAUAUGCAAACUACAUGGUGCAGAUGAAAGAAGAGAUUAAUUUUCCCAGUGACAUGGCUGAAAUCCAUGAUGCCAUGGAGUUGCUCCGUAUUGAAGUAGAGAGAGGGAAGAAGACCCAAGAGACGAAGAUAGAGAGAGGCGGAGAAGAGAAAGGGAGAGAAGCAGACAGGAGGACAGAGACAGGUUAAGGCAAGAGAGGAGGGUCGAGGAGGAACGGCGCGGAGAGACAACUGUCCAACCGCGUCAACCCUUACGGCAACCUCCACGUCAACCUCCACGUCGUCCCAAUAAAGAAAUGUUACAACUGUGGAGCCGUAGGCCAUAUUCGGGCUCAAUGCCGAAGACCCAGGCGUCGAGAUAGAAAAGAAUACAAAAGGGACAGUGACGUGGGUGGUAUUCAUUACCACUUUCACGGCACUGUCCAAAAUCUUAAAACUUCUUAAUAAAGAGUGUUUUAAAUGUGAAA
This is a non-coding RNA of Pocillopora verrucosa, 966 nucleotides long. Lineage: Eukaryota; Metazoa; Cnidaria; Anthozoa; Scleractinia; Pocilloporidae. The record is from RefSeq and is a predicted model, not a curated record.